Molecule: ribosomal RNA, 368 nt
Filed under: uncultured bacterium
Lineage: Bacteria
Description: bacterial SSU rRNA
Rfam family: Bacterial small subunit ribosomal RNA
Source: RNAcentral
GAUGAACGCUGGCGGCGUGCUUAACACAUGCAAGUCGAACGAAGCAAUUAGAGUGCUUGCACUUUGAUUGACUGAGUGGCGGACGGGUGAGUAACGCGUGGGUAACCUGCCUCACACAGGGGGACAACAGUUGGAAACGACUGCUAAUACCGCAUAAGCGCACAGUACCGCAUGGUACAGUGUGAAAAACUCCGGUGGUGUGAGAUGGACCCGCGUCUGAUUAGCUAGUUGGUAGGGUAACGGCCUACUAAGGCGACGAUCAGUAGCCGGCCUGAGAGGGUGAACGGCCACAUUGGGACUGAGACACGGCCCAAACUCCUACGGGAGCAGCAGUGGGAAUAUUGGCACAAUGGGGGGGAACCCUGAGU